Aedes aegypti (yellow fever mosquito) is the source of this 636-nucleotide long non-coding RNA. RefSeq lists it as uncharacterized. NCBI's taxonomy places the organism in Eukaryota, Metazoa, Arthropoda, Insecta, Diptera, Culicidae. The transcript has 2 exons. The record is from RefSeq and is a predicted model, not a curated record.
CGAAUUUCGAACAUAGCAUUUACUCUGUCAAAAAUAUUGUUUUGUUUUGGACAGAUGAUUUUUGCAGAGAAGAAGAUUCCGAGCGGUGCAAAAAGUAGUGUUCUUGUGAAUGUUUUGCCGUUUUCUGCAGACUGCUGAAGACAUAACAGCCCGGAAAAGCUCAAACGGGGGAAAGUGAAGCCAUCCUGUGCAACCUGCAAGGGCUAAACACGGUUUUUCACAACUAUGGAUGUGUCUGCAGUGUGGUGGCAACCGAUCCCUCUGCAACGUCCUUAUCGGUGGAUAGGCACCCAUCGAAUCAGCAAAUGAUCGUGAUAUCCAGCGGAAUCGCCACAACUUAAGUGCACCAAACGGCAACGUCGAUCGGAGUCCCUGCGGGUCGAUACAACAAGCAAUCGCACCAGCAAGAUAAUUUUGCUGCCAUGCCACAGGCGACCGGAUCGGUAGUCAGUGAUGGAACCGCGGGACAACGCAAUGGAACUGCAGUUACCGCCACCAACGCUGAUGCGAUAAGCAAACAGGCAAGCAAGCAGAUUGCAAAAUAGUUUCUCAAACAGAGAGACGGUAGGUUUGAGAAUGACAUGGCCAUCUCUGGUCGUUGAAAAGAUGAAUAAACUAAAACUACGAAACUAAAAA